Molecule: transfer RNA, 77 nt
Filed under: Sporanaerobacter acetigenes DSM 13106
Lineage: Bacteria; Bacillati; Bacillota; Tissierellia; Tissierellales; Sporanaerobacteraceae
Also listed under: 1 other name
Description: tRNA_Pro_GGG
Rfam family: tRNA
About the family: Transfer RNA (tRNA) molecules are approximately 80 nucleotides in length. Their secondary structure includes four short double-helical elements and three loops (D, anti-codon, and T loops). Further hydrogen bonds mediate the characteristic L-shaped molecular structure. tRNAs have two regions of fundamental functional importance: the anti-codon, which is responsible for specific mRNA codon recognition, and the 3' end, to which the tRNAs corresponding amino acid is attached (by aminoacyl-tRNA synthetases). tRNAs cope with the degeneracy of the genetic code in two manners: having more than one tRNA (with a specific anti-codon) for a particular amino acid; and 'wobble' base-pairing, i.e. permitting non-standard base-pairing at the 3rd anti-codon position.
Source: RNAcentral
CGGGAUGUAGCGCAGUAUGGUAGCGCACAAGUCUGGGGGACUUGGGGUCGCUGGUUCAAAUCCAGUCAUCCCGACCA